UCACAGGUUUUUUUUAAAACCCCUAUAAUAAAUUGUAACAAAAAUG
Non-coding RNA from Thelazia callipaeda (thelaziosis nematode), 46 nucleotides. The record is from Rfam. Lineage: Eukaryota; Metazoa; Nematoda; Chromadorea; Rhabditida; Thelaziidae.